UGUUACGUCGUGUGGUCGCACAUGGGCUACAACCUAGGCUAGGCCUUGCAUGCAACCUAGCUGGAGUCAUGUCUGCCUCGCCCUGAGGGGCAUCUGAUUCUAUCCAAUGGUUGCGUUCACUUUGGUAAUGUAUAAAAGCUGUGAUUUUCUUCAUACCAUGUAAACCCUAGUUCAUUUCUAUUUUGCCUCGACCAUGCGGUCUCCACUCUUUCCCUCUUCUUCUCGAUCUCUAGUGAGAGCACCAUGUGACCUCUCGCUGGCAUACGCACUCCCCUCUAGGUGAAUGUGCUUCCAUCAAGGGGCCCCGUGGCGGUGUUGUGGAAUCUUGUGGCAGUGUCCUGGUCGUCAGAGAUGGCCCUCUUCUCUAUCCUUAUCGUCGAUGAUGAACAAGUCUUAGAAUGGAGUGGGCACUUGGAUGUUGGUCUGACGACGACUUUACUUGAAACAAAUACUUUCGUUCCAUGACCAAUCGUUCUGGCCUGUCGUGGUUAUAUAUAAUUGAGUUUGCCGGUGUACCUACCAAAUCCAUUGUUUACUACUCGGCAACGAGUACCUUAUGGCAAGAUAAGCAUCAGUACGUAUAUUAUGGUUGAGUUGUACCUAAUUUGCAUUCCUCAUUAACAAGUCAAAAACUGUUGAGGUUGACUUUGUACUGGUGAACAAACAAGGGUGAGUCAGACGCAACAACAUAUGGCCCGGACAAAACCACCUCUAUAUGAGUGGUAGCAGGAUAAAUUUUUGCUCACGAAGAUCACACUUCUUUGUCUCCGAUCCUGUUGACGAUUAUUCCCUACUUGAAGGAUGCCUAGCUUGCACUCACUCUCGCGUACCUGGAGAGGUUUGCCCUGUUUCUAUAAACACGUUUUAUGCAGUGACGAAGGGCGAGAACAUGUAUCUCUAGGCAUUUGCAGUAGUUAAAACCCUAGCCAUUCAAUUACAAAGCACGCAUCCCAUUUUCGACGGUCAA
This is a long non-coding RNA of Zea mays, 967 nucleotides long. RefSeq lists it as uncharacterized. The record is from RefSeq and is a predicted model, not a curated record. The transcript has 2 exons. Lineage: Eukaryota; Viridiplantae; Streptophyta; Magnoliopsida; Poales; Poaceae.